ACUGCUCAGUAACACGUGGACAACCUACCCUCAGAUCUGGGAUAACUCCGGGAAACUGGAGAUAAUACCGGAUAAUCCGUGAACGCUGGAAUGCCUUACGGUUUAAAGCUUUAGCGUCUGAGGAUGGGUCUGCGGCCGAUUAGGUAGUUGCUGGGGUAACGUCCCAACAAGCCGAUAAUCGGUACGGGUUGUGAGAGCAAGAGCCCGGAGAUGGAUUCUGAGACACGAAUCCAGGUCCUACGGGGCGCAGCAGGCGCGAAAACUUUACACUGCGCGAAAGCGCGAUAAGGGGACCUCGAGUGCGUGCGCAAUGCGUACGCUUUUCAUACGCCUAAAAAGCAUGUGGAAUAAGAGCCGGGCAAGACCGGUGCCAGCCGCCGCGGUAACACCGGCGGCUCGAGUGGUGGCCGCUAUUAUUGGGCUUAAAGGGUCCGUAGCCGGACCAGUUAGUCCCUUGGGAAAUCUUACGGCUUAACCGUAAGGCUGCCAAUGGAUACUGCUGGUCUUGGGACCGGGAGAGGCAAGAGGUACCUCAGGGGUAGGAGUGAAAUCCUGUAAUCCUUGAGGGACCGCCAGUGGCGAAGGCGUCUUGCUAGAACGGGUCCGACGGUGAGGGACGAAAGCUAGGAGCACGAACCGGAUUAGAUACCCGGGUAGUCCUAGCCGUAAACGAUGCGAGCUAGGUGUCACGUGGAUUGCGAAUCCAUGUGGUGCCGUAGGGAAACCGUGAAGCUCGCCGCCUGGGAAGUACGGCCGCAAGGCUGAAACUUAAAGGAAUUGGCGGGGGAGCAC
Molecule: ribosomal RNA, 792 nt
Filed under: uncultured archaeon
Lineage: Archaea
Description: bacterial SSU rRNA
Rfam family: Archaeal small subunit ribosomal RNA
Source: RNAcentral